UCCUACGGGAGGCAGCAGUGGGGGAUAUUGGACAAUGGGGGGAACCCUGAUCCAGCGACGCCGCGUGAGUGAAGAAGUAUUUCGGUAUGUAAAGCUCUGUCAGCAGGGAAGAAAGCAAUGACGGUACCUGACCAAGAAGCCCCGGCUAACUACGUGCCAGCAGCCGCGGUAAUACGUAGGGGGCAAGCGUUAUCCGGAUUUACUGGGUGUAAAGGGAGCGUAGACGGCCGUGCAAGUCUGAUGUGAAAACCCGGGGCUCAACCCCGGGACUGCAUUGGAAACUGCAUGGCUGGAGUGUCGGAGAG
This 305-nucleotide ribosomal RNA is filed under the name uncultured bacterium. Its description in RNAcentral is "bacterial SSU rRNA". It matches the Rfam family "Bacterial small subunit ribosomal RNA", at positions 337 to 656 of the family's 1533-position model. The record is from RNAcentral.